This 494-nucleotide ribosomal RNA is filed under the name uncultured bacterium. RNAcentral's name for it is "partial 16S ribosomal RNA". It matches the Rfam family "Bacterial small subunit ribosomal RNA", at positions 899 to 1397 of the family's 1533-position model. The record is from RNAcentral.
ACUCAAAGGAAUUGACGGGGACCCGCACAAGCAGCGGAGCAUGUGGUUUAAUUCGAAGCAACGCGAAGAACCUUACCAGGACUUGACAUCCCUCUGACAGGAACUUAACCGUUCCCUUCUUCGGACAGAGGAGACAGGUGGUGCAUGGUUGUCGUCAGCUCGUGUCGUGAGAUGUUGGGUUAAGUCCCGCAACGAGCGCAACCCUUGUCAUUAGUUGCCAUCAUUAAGUUGGGCACUCUAGUGAGACUGCCGUGGAUAACACGGAGGAAGGUGGGGAUGACGUCAAAUCAUCAUGCCCCUUAUGUUCUGGGCUACACACGUGCUACAAUGGCUGGUACAAAGAGACGCAAGACCGUGAGGUGGAGCAAAUCUCAAAAACCAGUCCCAGUUCGGAUUGUAGGCUGCAACUCGCCUACAUGAAGUUGGAGUUGCUAGUAAUCGCAGAUCAGAAUGCUGCGGUGAAUGCGUUCCCGGGUCUUGCACACACCGCCCGU